This 90-nucleotide transfer RNA is filed under the name Pectobacterium polaris. RNAcentral describes it as "tRNA-Ser". It matches the Rfam family "tRNA". From Rfam's summary of the family: Transfer RNA (tRNA) molecules are approximately 80 nucleotides in length. Their secondary structure includes four short double-helical elements and three loops (D, anti-codon, and T loops). The record is from RNAcentral. Lineage: Bacteria; Pseudomonadati; Pseudomonadota; Gammaproteobacteria; Enterobacterales; Pectobacteriaceae.
GGAGAGAUGCCGGAGCGGCUGAACGGCCAGUCUCGAAAACUGGAGUAGGGCAACGCGACCGGGGGUUCAAAUCCCCCCGUCUCUCCAACA